UCAAUUCACAUUCCGUCCCUGAUUGACAUCUAGCAAUGUGUCAGGGCAAUACAUGUGACGGGAAAUGUCACGUGGUAUGACAAAACCAAAUUCGUUCGUUUACCGUGAAACUAUAAUCCCUUCGUCAAUAUGAUCCGAUCAAUUACGAGAUAUGGAGUUGUGUCAAUCUCGAUUAUCGAUCAUAUCUUUCACUCCACUAUUAAGUCAAUAUAAAUCGAAAACUCCUUUUCGACUUAUGAGUACACCUUGGCCAAGGAUUUCAUCAUUGACUU
RNAcentral lists this long non-coding RNA (272 nucleotides) under Olea europaea (common olive). RNAcentral's name for it is "long non-coding RNA (OEUR_LNC007307)". Lineage: Eukaryota; Viridiplantae; Streptophyta; Magnoliopsida; Lamiales; Oleaceae. The record is from RNAcentral.